GUUAAACAGCUAGCCUAACCGCACGGAACUCCAAGUAAACGACCACACAUAGCCGGCCAACUCCUCCUCCCCAUAAAACAUUUUACCACCUAAGUAUAGGCGACAGAAAAGGAACAGACUUAGAGCGAUAGAAAAAGUACCGCAAGGGAAAGCUGAAAGAGAAGUGAAACAACCCAUAAAAACGACAAGAAGCAGAGACUAACCCUUGUACCUUUUGCAUCAUGGUUUAGCAAGUAAGAAUCAGGCAAAGAGAACUUUAGUUUGAAUUCCCGAAACUAGACGAGCUACUCCGGGGCAGCCUUAUAGGGCCAACCCGUCUCUGUUGCAAAAGAGUGGGAAGACCCCCGAGUAGAGGUGAUAAACCUACCGAGCCUAGUUAUAGCUGGUUGCUUAAGAAAUGAAUGUUAGUUCAGCCCUGUAUGACUCUACACCCAAAACAAUGCCUUUGACAUAAGGAAAAAGUAACUUGCAGGAGUUAGUCGAAGGGGGUACAGCCCCUUUGAAAUAGGACACAACCUUGUUUGGGAGGACAAGGAUCACAGUUUAAAAGGACAAGAUUACCUCAGUAGGCCCAAGAGCAGCCACCUGUAGAGAAAGCGUUAAAGCUCCGGUAAAAACAAGCCGAUAAUAAGGAUAUUAUACUCCUCACCCCCCAAAUAUAUUAAGCUAUUCUAUGCACCCAUAGAAGAAACAAUGCUAAAAUCAGUAAUAAGGGGGUGCCAGACCCCCUCCUAGCACAUGUGUAAGUCAGAGCGGACUAACCCCUGGCAAUCACCGGACCCAAGCGAAGAGGGAAUAAAAACGGAACACAACACACAAGAAAACACUAUUGAAACACAACCGUUACCCCAACACAGGUGUGCACCAAGGAAAGACUAAAAGGGGAGGAAGGAACUCGGCAAACACAAACCUCGCCUGUUUACCAAAAACAUCGCCUCUUGCCAACAAAGAAGUAUUAGAGGUCCCGCCUGCCCUGUGACCGCAAAGUUUAACGGCCGCGGUAUCCUGACCGUGCGAAGGUAGCGUAAUCAUUUGUCUUUUAAAUGAAGACCUGUAUGAAUGGCAUAACGAGGGUUUAACUGUCUCCCUUCCCCAGUCAAUGAAAUUGAUCUACCCGUGCAGAAGCGGGUAUAUAACCAUAAGACGAGAAGACCCUAUGGAGCUUUAGACAAAGGAUCGCGCAUGUAAAGAGGGCCUAUUAUCCAAAGGGACUACAGUGGCCGUGAAACCAAAUGUACAACGAACCGAGUGUCUUCGGUUGGGGCGACCAUGGGGGAGAGAAAAGCCCCCACGAGGAACGGGGAAACCCUGAGCUAAGAGGGACACCUCUAAGCAGCAGAAAAUCUGACCGCAACUGACCCAGGACGACGCUCCUGAUCAACGAACCAAGUUACCCUAGGGAUAACAGCGCAAUCCUCUCCCAGAGUCCAUAUCGACGAGGGGGUUUACGACCUCGAUGUUGGAUCAGGACAUCCUAAUGGUGCAGCCGCUAUUAAGGGCUCGUUUGUUCAACGAUUAAUAGUCCUACGUGAUCUGAGUUCAGACCGGAGUAAUCCAGGUCGGUUUCUAUCUAUGAUAUUUCUUCUUCCUAGUACGAAAGGACCGGAAUGAAGGGGGCCAAUACUAACAGCAAGCCUCACCCUUACCCGCUGAAAACAGAUGAAUCGGGCAAAAGGACAUAUUCCACACCCAGAAAUAAUGGCAU
This 1705-nucleotide ribosomal RNA is filed under the name Avocettina infans (avocet snipe-eel). Its description in RNAcentral is "16S rRNA". The stretch from base 94 to 1626 matches the Rfam family "Bacterial large subunit ribosomal RNA". The record is from RNAcentral. Lineage: Eukaryota; Metazoa; Chordata; Actinopteri; Anguilliformes; Nemichthyidae.